UGUGUGGUUGUGCAUGAAUGUGCGAUUGUGCAUGAAUGUGAUUGUGCAUGAAUGUGUGAUUGUGCAUGAGUGUGAUUGUGCAUGAAUGUGUGAUUGUGCAUAAAUGUGUGAUUGUGCAUGAAUGUGUGAGUGCGCCGACACGAGGAAGAGGAGGAGGAAAGUCGACGUUUGGGAGUUUUGAGCUCUGAAGCUGGAAAGUGAGCGGGAGCGACACAAGUGUGGCCUUCUAGAAGGACGUCCGUGCUGACGUCAGCGUGUCACGUCCACUGGAAUCAAGCGUGGACACAAAGUGGGACGACGUCAACAAACAGCAGAGAGAAGUCAACUCACCCAAGAACCACUUCUCCAUGGCCGCCCGCAGGUCCAGAGGUCCUGUGCCAGCGAACAGGUUCUCUCCAGUGUCCUCCAGGUCCGGGUUGUGGUUCCAGAUGCACUUGGCGGCGUAGCCCUCAGCCAGCACCUUCAGGUUGGGGUCCCAUUUCUGAGAGGUCAGUGGAAAAUGGCGUGAGUCACGGGCUACCCAGCAUGCCGUGCGAGGCUUUGUGGAUAGUUUGUGAGCAGAGGAGGUUAAUAACUCGGGGUGGGAACUUCAAGAUUUCAUCUGAUUCCCAGUCCUGGGGUGAUGAUCCAAAUCAGAACUGAUUCCCAAGUCAAACUGAUUCUCGCAAUACUGGUUUUAUAAUUAUAAUGUUAUAAUAAUGUUUUUUUGAAACAAGUUGGUGGUUAGAAAAGCUCCUUCUGGUUUCAUGGAGAUAAUCUGUAAAAUAUGGAUUCUUAUAACAAAAAAUGUGACCUUGACUUUGACACCUGUGACUUGGAGAAACACAAAGACUGAGAUUGGGUGGUUUACUAGGACCCUGGGAUCGGCCUCGCCGCUCGGGUGCAGCACAGAGAAGCUUACAAAAGCUGAACAGGGGUGAACCAAAGUGUCAGGUUCAAACACCGAUGAUGUCUAUUAAACGAGACAAGAAGCAAG
This is a long non-coding RNA of Nerophis ophidion (straightnose pipefish), 976 nucleotides long. RefSeq lists it as uncharacterized. NCBI's taxonomy places the organism in Eukaryota, Metazoa, Chordata, Actinopteri, Syngnathiformes, Syngnathidae. The transcript has 3 exons. The record is from RefSeq and is a predicted model, not a curated record.